AGCAGCCGCGGUAAUUCCAGCUCCAAUAGCGUAUAUUAAAGUUGUUGCAGUUAAAAAGCUCGUAGUUGAAUUUCGGGAUUGACACAUCGGUCGUGCCUUAAGGGGUAUGAACUGGUGUAGUCAAUUUCUCACCUUCUGGAGAACCGCGAUGCCCUUAAUUGGGUGUCGCGGGGAACCAGGACCUUUACUUUGAAAAAAUUAGAGUGUUUAAAGCAGGCAUUUUUGCUUGAAUACAUUAGCAUGGAAUAAUAAAAUAGGACGGCAUGGUUCUAUUUUGUUGGUUUCUAGGACCACCGUAAUGAUUAAUAGGGAUAGUUGGGGGCAUUAGUAUUCAAUUGUCAGAGGUGAAAUUCUUGGAUUUAUUGAAGACUAACUACUGCGAAAGCAUUUGCCAAGGAUGUUUUCAUUAAUCAAGAACGAAAGUUAGGGGAUCGAAGACGAUCAGAUACCGUCGUAGUCUUAACCAUAAACUAUGCCGACUAGGAAUCAGACGAUGUUAAUUUUUAAUGACUCGUUUGGCACCUUACGG
Molecule: ribosomal RNA, 529 nt
Filed under: uncultured Entrophospora
Lineage: Eukaryota; Fungi; Glomeromycota; Glomeromycetes; Entrophosporales; Entrophosporaceae
Description: SSU rRNA
Rfam family: Eukaryotic small subunit ribosomal RNA
Source: RNAcentral